This 492-nucleotide ribosomal RNA is filed under the name uncultured bacterium. Its description in RNAcentral is "partial 16S ribosomal RNA". It matches the Rfam family "Bacterial small subunit ribosomal RNA", at positions 28 to 507 of the family's 1533-position model. The record is from RNAcentral.
GGUGAACGCUGGCGGUAGGCCUAACACAUGCAAGUCGAACGGCAGCACAGUAAGAGCUUGCUCUUACGGGUGGCGAAUGGCGGACGGGUGAGGAAUACAUCGGAAUCUACUUUUUCGUGGGGGAUAACGUAGGGAAACUUACGCUAAUACCGCAUACGACCUACGGGGGAAAGCAGGGGAUCUUCUGACCUUGCGCGGUUGAAUGAGCCGAUGUCGGAUUAGCUAGUUGGCGGGGUAAAGGCCCACCAAGGCGACGAUCCGUAGCUGGUCUGAGAGGAUGAUCAGCCACACUGGAACUGAGACACGGUCCAGACUCCUACGGGAGGGAGCAGUGGGGAAUAUUGGACAAUGGGCGCAAGCCUGAUCCAGCCAUACCGCGUGGGUGAAGAAGGCCUUCGGGUUGUAAAGCCCUUUUGUUGGGAAAGAAAAGCAGCAGGUUAAUACCCCGCUGUUCUGACGGUACCCAAAGAAUAAGCACCGGCUAACUUCGUG